This 426-nucleotide unclassified non-coding RNA is filed under the name Hevea brasiliensis (rubber tree). The record is from RNAcentral. Lineage: Eukaryota; Viridiplantae; Streptophyta; Magnoliopsida; Malpighiales; Euphorbiaceae.
CACCGCCGCUUCCUCCUUUGCUGAGACGACUAGGCGUACUGAUGAUGCCUUGAUCUUCCAAGUCCUCUCCACCAUCGUCGUGUUCUCCUCUGUUACUGUUUGAUAUCAACAUAUGAUUUUCAUCGCUGUAUUCUCCUCUUUCUCCUCCUCCCAUUUCUCUCUCUUUCUAUUUUUUUCUCUUCCUCUGGGCGUCACUAAAUUAUCAGAGCAUAGGAAUCGGGCUCUGCGAAUCUUGUUCCUUUUCCUAUUCUGUUUGCUAUUACCUUAUACUGAGAUCACAAGGACGCAGUGGAGAGGAGAAGGUGGUGGUUGUGGUGGUGGGCGUGGAGGAGUAAGAGGGGCCGGGCUUGUUUGGUUCUAUGGAGCAAUAUUUGUGGUAUUUCUAAAUUUUUAUUUCCUCCCAGAUCGAAAGCGAGAAUUGGAAUU